RNAcentral lists this ribosomal RNA (489 nucleotides) under uncultured bacterium. RNAcentral describes it as "bacterial SSU rRNA". It matches the Rfam family "Bacterial small subunit ribosomal RNA", at positions 30 to 515 of the family's 1533-position model. The record is from RNAcentral.
AUUGAACGCUGGCGGCAUGCCUUACACAUGCAAGUCGAACGGUAACAGGUCUUCGGAUGCUGACGAGUGGCGAACGGGUGAGUAAUACAUCGGAACGUGCCCGAUCGUGGGGGAUAACGCAGCGAAAGCUGUGCUAAUACCGCAUACGAUCUACGGAUGAAAGCGGGGGAUCGCAAGACCUCGCGCGGACGGAGCGGCCGAUGGCAGAUUAGGUAGUUGGUGGGAUAAAAGCUUACCAAGCCGACGAUCUGUAGCUGGUCUGAGAGGACGACCAGCCACACUGGGACUGAGACACGGCCCAGACUCCUACGGGAGGCAGCAGUGGGGAAUUUUGGACAAUGGGCGCAAGCCUGAUCCAGCCAUGCCGCGUGCAGGAUGAAGGCCUUCGGUUGUAAACUGCUUUGUUACGGAACGAAAAGACUCUCUCUAAUACAGGGGUGGAAUGACGGUACCGUAAGAAUAAGCACCGGCUAACUACGUGCCAGCACG